UGCGUAGGCGGACUAAUAAGUCAGUGGUGAAAUCUCUCGGCUCAACCGAGAAACUGCCAUUGAAACUGAUAAGCUUGAGUGUAGUUGUAGUAGGCGGAAUAUAGCAUGUAGCGGUGAAAUGCUUAGAUAUGCUAUAGAACACCGAUCGCGAAGGCAGCUUACUAAACUAUCACUGACGCUCAUGCACGAAAGCGUGGGGAGCAAACAGGAUUAGAUACCCUGGUAGUCC
RNAcentral lists this ribosomal RNA (229 nucleotides) under uncultured bacterium. RNAcentral describes it as "partial 16S ribosomal RNA". It matches the Rfam family "Bacterial small subunit ribosomal RNA", at positions 568 to 796 of the family's 1533-position model. The record is from RNAcentral.